Molecule: ribosomal RNA, 96 nt
Filed under: Salmonella enterica
Lineage: Bacteria; Pseudomonadati; Pseudomonadota; Gammaproteobacteria; Enterobacterales; Enterobacteriaceae
Also listed under: 3 other names
Description: partial 23S ribosomal RNA
Rfam family: Bacterial large subunit ribosomal RNA
Source: RNAcentral
GGGUUGUGAGGUUAAGCGACUAAGCGUACACGGUGGAUGCCCUGGCAGUCAGAGGCGAUGAAGGGCGUGCUAAUCUGCGAUAAGCGCCGGUAAGGU